UACAGAGGGGGCAAGCGUUAUUCGGAAUUAUUGGGCGUAAAGGGCGCGUAGGCGGCUUGGCAAGUGGAAGGUGAAAUCCCUCGGCUUAACCGAGGAACUGCCCUCCAAACUGCUUUGCUUGAGGCCGGGAGAGGUGAGUGGAAUUCCCAGUGUAGCGGUGAAAUGCGUAGAUAUUGGGAGGAACACCAGUGGCGAAGGCGGCUCACUGGACCGGUUCUGACGCUGAGGCGCGAAAGCGGUGGGGAGCAAACGGG
RNAcentral lists this ribosomal RNA (254 nucleotides) under uncultured bacterium. RNAcentral's name for it is "partial 16S ribosomal RNA". It matches the Rfam family "Bacterial small subunit ribosomal RNA", at positions 524 to 776 of the family's 1533-position model. The record is from RNAcentral.